Molecule: ribosomal RNA, 329 nt
Filed under: uncultured eukaryote
Lineage: Eukaryota
Description: partial 18S ribosomal RNA
Rfam family: Eukaryotic small subunit ribosomal RNA
Source: RNAcentral
CCCCUAGAUGUUCUGGGCCGCACGCGCGCUACACUGACGAUGGCAACGAGUUUUUCCUUCGCCGAAAGGUGUGGGUAAUCUUUUGAAACAUCGUCGUGCUGGGGAUAGAUCAUUGCAAUUUUUGAUCUUGAACGAGGAAUUCCUAGUAAGCGCGAGUCAUCAGCUCGCGUUGAUUACGUCCCUGCCCUUUGUACACACCGCCCGUCGCUACUACCGAUUGAAUGGUUUAGUGAGGACUCCUGAUUGGCGCCGCCGCCCCGGCAACGGAGCAGCGGACUGCCGAAAAGUUGUUCAAACUUGAUCAUUUAGAGGAAGUAAAAGUCGUAACA